CUCCGUUAAGGGCAAGCUCUCCGAAAGGGGAUGCGCGCAAAGCCAUGGGUCUAAGGCUCCGGUGGCCCGAGUAGCUUCCCUGGGCUUACCGGGGCUAAGAUCGCCAGGCUGCCGGG
Molecule: non-coding RNA, 116 nt
Filed under: Thermanaeromonas toyohensis
Lineage: Bacteria; Bacillati; Bacillota; Clostridia; Neomoorellales; Neomoorellaceae
Also listed under: 1 other name
Description: c-di-GMP sequence
Rfam family: c-di-GMP-I riboswitch aptamer
About the family: GEMM was predicted in a large-scale screen for bacterial structured RNA regulatory elements. Genes associated with GEMM are involved in a diverse array of functions, including chemotaxis regulation, signal transduction, secretion and chitin.
Source: RNAcentral